This is a long non-coding RNA of Paramacrobiotus metropolitanus, 1312 nucleotides long. RefSeq lists it as uncharacterized. NCBI's taxonomy places the organism in Eukaryota, Metazoa, Tardigrada, Eutardigrada, Parachela, Macrobiotidae. The transcript has 6 exons. The record is from RefSeq and is a predicted model, not a curated record.
AUUUUUCAAACCAUUGAAAAGACGGACCGGUGAAUGCACCGAUUACUCUGCGACACGUUGUUUCAUCAUUCCAGUUAUUCGUGGCUCUACAUUGUUCAACAUUCAUGAGCCAUCUUUGAAUUUUUUCUGGAUGAGCAUCGUCAAAGGCAAGGAGCUUCAUGCCACCCACCGUUUUAUCGCUGUCCUUUUCCACAAAUUUCGCUAAAAGUUCAACAACGCUUUCUUGUGUGCCGUUUCCCUUGGAAUUUGACUUUCUGACGAUGAACGCAGCAUGGUCUGACCCUCCGAGAAUUCGACUCGUGAUUCCUGUCUGGGUCUCCGCAAAAUACCAGCUGGAUUACUGCCAGUAGGUAACGGUUGUUCAACGGAUGAUGAGAAAUUCUGUGGAUUGAAGAGUGAAAAUUGCGGAGGACAUAGCACAUCUCCCGUCGCUACAGGGGGUUCCCUUUGAAAAUGUCUUUCAUUGCCACUAUGAGUGACGCCCGGAUUUCGAAAUCGGAGUAGCUCCUCGGCCGCCUGUUUAAGAUCAUCUUCCAUUUUGUCAACAGACCCUGCAAUCUCUCAAUUUCCUUUUGGGACGCAUCAUCCUUUUCCUUGGGAAUAUGCAUCGGGCCGACUGAAGACUUAUUGUUCAACUGAACUCUCGCUUGUGUGAGUUCACGCUGUAGAGAGUCUUCCGCAUCUUUAGCCCGCUUCUUUUCGUCAUCCAAAUCUUUGAUGCGAUGAGCGUGCGGAGACUUUGGAUUAAUACGGGCAUAGUUUGCCGGACUAUCAAGCCCACAUCCUGGUCAGUUUCUGCCGCAGCUAACUGCUCGUCAACUUCCCUAGCUUGAAUCCUUCAGAAAUAUCCGCUUUAUCCGCAGCCGACAAUGCUAUCAAGUUAUUGUCCGACUGGGAAGACUGAGGUUCUGUUUGGCUCUCAGCCACACUUGGAGUUUCCGAUAUGGGUUCAUCCAGUAUCGCACCGGAUGCCUGGGCUGGAAUUCUCUCCUUGGCACCGCGCGUGACGCGCUCAUUUGCUGCCUGUUUUUUGGGAGUUUUUCCAGUUGCUUUUGACGCUGUGAGUGCGGCUUGAGCCGCCUCUCUGCGUCUAUUCAAAUCUUCCGUAUAUUCUGGCAGCCACCUGUUUGCAUCCUGCAAGGCAGCUUUAAACUGCUCAUCAGUAAUGUCCAGGUGGAAGGCGGACAGUCAGCAUCCAGUACGUACAUCCGGCGUAUGAUCCUACUCCCAUACGUCAAAGUAUAAUAUUACUACCGGAAUCUUGAACAUUUUUACAUUAGAUAAAGGUGUUAUACUUUUUAUUCGGCAGCCG